This 433-nucleotide ribosomal RNA is filed under the name uncultured bacterium. Its description in RNAcentral is "partial 16S ribosomal RNA". It matches the Rfam family "Bacterial small subunit ribosomal RNA", at positions 29 to 507 of the family's 1533-position model. The record is from RNAcentral.
AACGAACGCUGGCGGCAUGCCUAACACAUGCAAGUCGAACGAGACCUUCGGAUGAACUGGCGCAUGCGUGCGUAACGCGUGGGAAGCUUCCCUUAGAUUCCGGAUAACUCUCCGUAGGGGGUGCUAAUACCGGAAAAUGUCUGCUGACACAACAUUUGACGCCUUUGGAUGGGCCCGCGUUGGUUUAACUAGUUGGUAGGGUAAAAGCCUACCAAGGCGUCGCUCGAUAGCUGGUCUGAGAGCAUGAGCAGCCACACUGGGACUCAGACACGGCCCAGACUCUUACGGGAGGCAGCAGUGGGUAAUAUUGGACAAUGGGGGAAAGCCUGAUCCAGCAAGGCCGCGUAAGUGAUGAAGGUCUGAGGGUUGUAAAGCUCUUUUACCCGGGAUGAUAAUGACAGUACCGGGAGAAUAAGCUCCGGCUAACUCCGUG